Molecule: ribosomal RNA, 253 nt
Filed under: uncultured bacterium
Lineage: Bacteria
Description: partial 16S ribosomal RNA
Rfam family: Bacterial small subunit ribosomal RNA
Source: RNAcentral
UACGUAGGGGGUAAGCGUUGUCCGGAAUCAUUGGGCGUAAAGCGCACGUAGGCGGCCCGGUAAGUCCGCUGUGAAAGUCCAGGGCUCAACCCUGGAAAGCCGGUGGAUACUGCCGGGCUAGAGUCCGGAAGAGGCGAGUGGAACUCCUGGUGUAGCGGUGGAAUGCGCAGAUAUCAGGAGGAACACCAAUAGCGAAGGCAGCUCGCUGGGACGGUACUGACGCUGAGGUGCGAAAGCGUGGGGAGCAAACAGG